This 269-nucleotide long non-coding RNA is filed under the name Rosa chinensis. Its description in RNAcentral is "sRNA RchiOBHm_Chr7g0226111". Lineage: Eukaryota; Viridiplantae; Streptophyta; Magnoliopsida; Rosales; Rosaceae. The record is from RNAcentral.
UGGAUCAAUCUUGAAAGCUUGGCUAUCGAAGGGGUAUUGUUCGGUUUUGCUGUGAGGAGGAAGAGGACCUGCGUUUUGGAUAACUGCAUUUUGAGCCAAGGAGAAGAUGAGGAACUUAGGUAUAGGGUUGUGAUCGAUACUUAGUUUUUGGGUAUGGAUUCUGUAUGCUUUGGAUGUGAAUGUGGAGAGGGCACAAGAUAUUCUCAUGCAUAAAAGACUAUUGCAUAUGGCCUGCCACUAGACCUGUAGUCUAAGUCCGUCUUGUGCAG